GGCCGCGGGAAUUCGAUUCAGGCCUAACACAUGCAAGUCGAGCGAAUUGACAGAGGUGCUUGCACCUCUCGAUUUUAGCGGCGGACGGGUGAGUAACACGUGGGUAACCUACCUAUAAGACUGGGAUAACUUCGGGAAACCGGAGCUAAUACCGGAUAAUAUUUAGCUUCGCAUGAAGCAAUAGUGAAAGACGGUUCUGCUGUCACUUAUAGAUGGACCUGCGGUGUAUUAGCUAGUUGGUGAGGUAACGGCUCACCAAGGCAACGAUACAUAGCCGACCUGAGAGGGUGAUCGGCCACACUGGGACUGAGACUCGGCCCAGACUCCUACGGGAGGCAGCAGUAGGGAAUCUUCCGCAAUGGACGAAAGUCUGACGGAGCAAGGCCGCGUGAGUGAAGAAGGUUUUCGGAUCGUAAAACUAUGGGUAAGGGAAGAACAAGUACGUUAGUAACUGAACGUACCUUGACGGUCUUACCAGAAG
Molecule: ribosomal RNA, 481 nt
Filed under: uncultured bacterium
Lineage: Bacteria
Description: partial 16S ribosomal RNA
Rfam family: Bacterial small subunit ribosomal RNA
Source: RNAcentral